Molecule: long non-coding RNA, 5589 nt
Organism: Galleria mellonella (greater wax moth)
Lineage: Eukaryota; Metazoa; Arthropoda; Insecta; Lepidoptera; Pyralidae
Exons: 3
Source: RefSeq, a predicted model, not a curated record
AUGAGUUGGCGACACUAUGCUAAAUUACGUACGUAUUCUGGUAGAAUGGUAUGAAUCAUGUAUGUUCGUAUGGUUGACAUAUGUAUACUGUAUAAUCGUGACAAUACGAAACGUGAAAUGUGAUUUAAUGAAGUGAUUACUGAAACUUUCUUUAUAAUUUAAAAUACAAUAUUCGAUCUAUCAAAGUUAGGCUGAUGGUGAUUUUUAAUAUAUUAAAAUUAACACUUCCUGACUAAGAAGUAUGAUAAGAAAUGAACUCCAGUAAACACGAAACAAGUUGAAACUUGAUUUUAUAUUUCGAUCACUUGGUACUAUUGGAGUAACUAUUUAAAAGAAAAAUCAAUAUGGAAACAGAUCUAUCUUUCUUUUAUGAUGAAACAACUGCUACUUCACAAUCUGUUAUAACAUCCCAACUGCUGAGUGAUGGUUUAAAUCAGAAAGAAUUAAAAUUUGAGGAAGAAAGUCUGAUUCGAGAAGAAAAAAGGCCACAUGAUAAAAACUUACUAGAGAUAUCCGAACAAGUUGAACCUAACCACAGUAACCCCUGCCAUGGAUAUUUACGUUUGUUUGCCGAUUGCUGCUCGUGGUUCAGCGAUUGUUACAAUUUUUGCUUCCAAAAUUGUCUUAGAAAUAAUAAUCCUGGAAUUCAUUCAAGUACAGAAUGUAAUUCGUGCUGUUUUGGUGUUGAAAACUGUCAAGCCGAGUGCAGCGAUAUGGGACUCUGUGAUAUUGUGCAUGUGUGUUGCGAUGGUGAAUGUUGUAAUAAUUGUUUAGAUUGUUGUUCAUGUUUUUUAGAAUGGUGUAGUCUUUUUACAAGUUGUAUCGGCUAAGUAAUAGUAGUUAUUUACUUAUAUAAUAAUCUAAUUUACCUUAAAUGCUAUCUUAAUAGAGACAAUUAUAGAUUUUCACAAGUACAAAAAUAUUUAGCAGCAUGCAUUAUGAGAAUGCAACUGACCAUACAGUCAAAAUAAUAGGUACAUUACGCGUACUUUCAUAAUACCUAUACUUUUAUGUUCAUUUUACUGGAUUCUAUUUCACUCGUAUUUUUGUCGUGUAACACCUAUUUCCUCCUUUUAUGAAGUUGUUAAAUUUAAAAUUAAAAACUUAUAAGCCUUCUUUGAUUUAAAUUGAACUCAAAAUGAAUAGAAUAUAAUAUGAUAAUCUCAGAUAAAUCAAAAUAAUAUAAUAUAAAAUAAUAAUAAAGUAUUCUCUACUUGGUUUUAUGGUUCUUAUGUAGGUAGGUACUUAGUGAGUCACUGGUAUAGCCGAAUCUUAUCAAUAAGGUCAUCCAUAAAUGUCUAAAUGUAUAUAUAAUAUAAAUAUAAAAUUACUAUUUAGUUAUAACAUAUUCAUUUUGUAUAUUAGUUUGUAAGUUGAUAUAGGUAAGUUUAGUCUUAAUAUAUAAAAAUUCCAUGUCACGAUGCUCGUUUACGUCAAUAUCUCGUUGUUUAACAGACUCCAAUGAUUUUUUGUUAAUAAUGUAUAUUAAAAAAUAAUCUAAAUUUAGCUUGAAGCAGGAAAUAGUUUUUAAUUUUAUUAAAAAUAACUCAGUUCGUGGUGACACCGGUUAAAAAGAAAUUUGCCGAGUCAGCUGUUAUAAUAAAAUAUUUUGAUUAUUUUAAAAAUAUAACUACAAAUUACGUACUGCUUAUGCGUAACUCUAUGUUGAAAUAGUAUUAAAUUAUCCUUAAUGUAAAUUAUAUAUCCAUGGCAACCCUUGCAACUUUCAAUUUUCUACUAUCGUUAUCACUUCGUUAAUUUUCUACUAUACCUACUAAAUCUACUAUUUUUAUUUUUUUUCAAUGCAUUAAUAUUCAUUCAAUAUAGUGUAUUGUUUAUUUUUUUUACUUUUCAAAAGAAAUAAGACUUCAGUGUGAUUAUUUUGUAUACAUUUAUUAGUUAACCAAUUAGAAUGUUUUUUAAAUUUUUAUCAAGAUAAUAAAAACUGUGAACUGAUAAGAACAGAACUAGUAGAAUAUAAGUUUAUUAUCUCAAAGACAAAUUAUAGUUUUAACUUUACUCGAGUGAUUGUGAACAGUCAUAUAAUAAUCAAGUAAUUAUUUUCAUGUUUUUACAUCGAAGCUAAACUGUAGUUAUUAAAAAAUAAACCAGUGCUAAAAAAUUCAUAAAUUUUUUUUACUUUGCAGUGCAAAUACCUAACCUACGUAAUUAAUUAAUCAUGCUUCCGCAUUGAGACUUUAUAAUUUGAAAUUGGAACAGUUUGUAAGAGUAUUCUUCUACAGAAAUUAGGUACAAAAACUUUAAAUUCAAUUCUAUCUUCUGCAACGUAUAUUGAAAUACUUAUCUAUUUUUAAAAAUGCAAGCUAAUAAAUCUGUGAUUACUGCUCAACCCUCUGAUCCAUCUGAAUCAGUCAUCACUUCUCAACCAGUCAGCACUGGGUUUGAUAUGGAUGAUCCAGAAUCUUUACUGCAACAAGAAAGGGAGCAGGAGGAAGAAAGAAAAAGGCAAGAAGAAGAAAGGAGGAGACAAGGCACAUGGGAUGAUGAAGAUCCAUUGACAGAGUGUUGCCUAAUUAUUCCUGAUGAUCAGGAUACAUACUUUUGUCUUCGUUGGUUAUCUGAUUGUUGCAUAUGGUUCAACAACUGCCACAAUCAAUGUUUUCAGGAUUGGGCAAAUUGUUUAAGCCGUUGUUGUGAAGGGGACAAAGAGAAUGCUGAUAUUGGACAGAGUAAUGAAGGUUGUUGUGAUUGCAAUUGUUGCGAAGGGGAUUGUUGUGAUUGUAAUGGUGAUUGUUGUGAUUGUGAUGGGGAUUGUUGUGAUUGUGAUGGGGAUUGUUGUGAUGCCUGUGGAGACUGCUGUAAUAUAUUUUCAUCUUGUGAUGAUUAACUUUUUUUAUCAUUCCAUUUAGAAUAUCUUACUCUUUGUCUCAAAAAAUUUUGUACAAAUAUUUACCUUGUUGUGGCCUCAUAUUAAUGCUACUUAAUUAUUAUAAAUCUAUUAUAAAAAAAUUAUGACAAUAAUUAUAAAUCAAAUACUUUAUUCAAUAUACCUCAUGAAUGCAUUCAUAGCAAACAGUUUGUAGUAACUGUUAUAUUUAUAAUUCAUUAAAUUUUAUUUAUUUAUUUUUAAGACAACAUACAGCCUGAUUCAAUCAAUACAUAGUCAAAUUACAUUUAUGUUGAACUACAAAUAGUUCUCAAAUUUGCAUAAUUACACAAUCUGUUUUUAUAUAUAUGCAAUAAAAAAGUUACAAAGUUAUAAAUUUUGUUAACACAGUUACAAUUGAAACAGUAUAAAUCAGAGGUGGCCGACUUAACUAAAUCCAAGAUCUACUAUUUACUGAUGAAACCCUGUGCAAUCUACCAAUUACAUACUUUUUGAAAUAUGAAAUGAAUCAACAUACUUCAAUACACAAUUAUGUAGUACAUAUUGUAGUAUUUUUUAUUUUAUUAAGAGAGAAAACAUAAAACUGAAAUUUAUUUUUAGUAACGUAUUUAUUUAUAUUAGUGUGAAUCACGAUCGGCCACCCCUUGUAUAAAUCAUUAUUUAUUUAUUUAUGUAACAUAUAUAAUAUAUGUUAUAAUACUAUUAUUUUUGACUCAAUUCUGUGGUGCUAUUUUUCUAAACUUAUAUCUUGACCUAAUAUUUUAAUUUGAUUGUUUCGCAAAAUUAGUUUUAUGAACCAAUUAUAAACUAAAUUUAAAUUUUACUAAAUUUUAAUUUAAAUCUAUUAGAAAUAUAGUUUAGAUUGGUCCUGUUCAUAAAGAUUUCACUGUGGUAUCAAAUUGAAUUUUUAAUUUUGGAGAAAGGUUUAGAGAAAUGAUAGCUCAGAAUCGAUCUCAAUGUUUGUUUUUAUAAUUAAAUGCUCUCAAAUUUUUACUAUUUAUAUUUUUCAUGUGUAUUAAUAUUUAAUGUAUAUAUUAUCAACAUAAAUAUAUGCAUGACAUUAAAAAUAAAAUAUUUUUAUGGGAAAUGCUUCAUUUUUGUAUUAUGUACAGACAAGCAGGUAGUAAUUUAAUAAAAAUGUUAUGAAGCUAAGUACUAAAAAUAAUGUUCCAGAGUAUUAUUAAUUAAGUAUUAAUUAUCAAUGUUAAUAAUGUAAUGUUACAGUGUAAAUAAGUUACUAUUAUUUUACUAAUUAUAUUACUUAUGUUUUUUUUUUUAUUUGAUACAAUCCAUAUAUGAAUAAAUAAAAUAUUAUUAUUCAUAUUUAAAUAGAUAUGAAAAUUUACGAACAUUUCUGUGUUUAUAAUUUAAAAUUAAAAAAUGAAGUAUGAAUCGUCUGAAAUAAGCUACAAAGAUAUAUUUAUAGUAUAACAACUGUUUAUAAUAUAAGCAAAUGAUAGGAUAUCACUGAAUCUUACUAGACAUAUAAUGGUGCUAAAAUGAGUACAUGAGUACUAGUGGUCAUAGAGUAUUGAUAAUUAUUAAUUCCAUUUAUUUCCAGUAUGCCAUAAGAGCGAAAUAGAAGUACACAUAAUGGCUUCUUAAGUGCAUAGAUUACUGAACAUUUUUCUAGACUGCUGCCCCCUUUAGCUCAAUGCUGUUACUAUAAAUUAUAAAUAAAUAGCUAACACCCCCAUUAGUUUCUGCAUUCGCUAUAGUCUUAUGAGACAAAGAUUUUUUUUCUUUUUGAUGGGUGGAAAUGCAAUGGUAACCCCAUCUGCGCUAACCGGAUACGUUGGCGGAGCACCAGUGAAGGGUGAUAGAUGAGAAUGAAAACAGCUCAGUUAGCCCAUCAUGAUGAACUCAUUAGGAAUUAACCAUGAUAGUUUCCAGGGGGAACCGCGAGGAGCUCAACCUGGUUGGAUAUAUUGCUAGCAAUGGGAUUCUUAGUCUGCAUUACUAACAAUCCCUUUCCCCCCGUGAGACAAAGAUGUUAGGUUUAUAGUGAUUUAUUUGAGGUAUGGCAAUACCAAAGGCUCUUGUAGAGGCGAUAUUAUCUCGUUCGAAUUUAUACCCUAUUGCACUUGAAGGAAAACUUGAAACAAAAAAAUACUAUCCAACCACCCGACUCGUGUUAUAGGUACAGGGUACAGUCAACACAGAAGUCGAUUAACACAACUUUUAAAAUAUAGGUAUAUAUACCUAUAAUUUGACGUUUUAAAUUGUCCGUCCAAUUGUGCCACCAAUAUUGAAAAAAUGUUUAAAUGUUUUAGAAAUCGCGAUGUGUUAAUCGACAUUUUCUGCUUUUUCUUACUUAUUUUGGAAUUUUACAUUAACAUUUUUGCUAUCAAAUUCCAAAUUCACAGUGAUCGCUUAACAAGAAUAUUGUUGUAAAAUUGUUUUUAAAAGCUGACAGAUAAUUGUGACAAUACCUACUUCAUUGUGAACACUCAUAAGUGUAGAGUACAGAGAAUUGACCCCAGUGAUUAUGUUAGAAAAUUAGUCAUAAUAAUUAUACUAUUGUGCCAAAUUUAUUUAUAGAAUUUAUAUAGUUAUUAGGUACUUAUAUAUUUUUUUAUUACUAUGCUACAUCAUUAAAGCAUCAUAGUUAUAAAUAUUGCAUAUUUUAUUGAAAAUUACAUUUCUGUGCCUAACAUUUAAAUUUUUAAAUUUGGAAUACUAUAAGUUCUAUGUGAAAUUUAUUGUUACGCAAAAAUUAUCGAAUUAUAUUAUUUAUAAAG